RNAcentral lists this ribosomal RNA (465 nucleotides) under uncultured bacterium. RNAcentral's name for it is "partial 16S ribosomal RNA". It matches the Rfam family "Bacterial small subunit ribosomal RNA", at positions 338 to 795 of the family's 1533-position model. The record is from RNAcentral.
CCUACGGGUGGCAGCAGUGGGGAAUAUUGCGCAAUGGGCGAAAGCCUGACGCAGCGACGCCGCGUGAGGGAUGAAGGUCUUCGGAUCGUAAACCUCUGUCAGCAGGGAAGAACGGUCACUGUGCUAAUCAGCAGUGAAUUGACGGUACCUGCAAAGGAAGCACCGGCUAACUCCGUGCCAGCAGCCGCGGUAAUACGGAGGGUGCGAGCGUUAAUCGGAAUUACUGGGCGUAAAGCGCUCGUAGGCGGUAUGUCAAGUCAAGGGUGAAAUCCCCGCGCUCAACGUGGGAACUGCCUUUGAAACUGGCAGACUGGAGUGUGGGAGAGGAUAGUAGAAUUCCAGGUGUAGGGGUGAAAUCCGUAGAGAUCUGGAGGAACAUCAGUGGCGAAGGCGACUAUCUGGCACAUGACUGACGCUGAGGAGCGAAAGCGUGGGUAGCAAACAGGAUUAGAUACCCCGGUAGUC